This 258-nucleotide ribosomal RNA is filed under the name uncultured Glomus. RNAcentral's name for it is "partial 18S ribosomal RNA". It matches the Rfam family "Eukaryotic small subunit ribosomal RNA", at positions 624 to 886 of the family's 1831-position model. Lineage: Eukaryota; Fungi; Glomeromycota; Glomeromycetes; Glomerales; Glomeraceae. The record is from RNAcentral.
AAGCUCGUAGUUGAAUUUCGGGGUUAGUAGGUUGGUCAUGCCUCUGUAUGUACUGGUCUCACUGAUUCCUCCUUCCUUAUGAACCGUAAUGCCAUUAAUUUGGUGUUGCGGGGAAUUUGGACUGUUACUUUGAAAAAAUUAGAGUGUUUAAAGCAAGCUAACGCUUGAAUACAUUAGCAUGGAAUAAUGAAAUAGGACGUUCGAUCUUAUUUUGUUGGUUUCUUAGGAUUGACGUAAUGAUUAAUAGGGAUAGUUGGG